CUGGAAGGGCGGAGAAUCGCUCUCCUUCGGGAGGGAGGAAAGUCCGAACUCCAUAGGGCGUGAUGCCGCGUAACUCAGCCUUCGCUGGUUGAGAUACACGCGGGCGGUGACGGCGCGAGUCGUCCCGACGGAAAGUGCCACAGAGAAGAUACCGCCAUCGGUGCUCGUUCGGGCCGAUGGUAAGGGUGAAAAGGUGGGGUAAGAGCCCACCGCGCGAAGCGCAAGCGACGCGGCACGGAAAACCCCAUCAGGUGCAAGGCCAAAUAGGAAACCGAGGAGCGGCCCGCUCCGCGCCCCGUGAAAGCGGGACAGGUUUCGGGUAUGGCUGCUCAGACAAAUGAUUCUCUCCGGCUCGCAAGAGUUGCAGACAGAAUUCGGCUUACAGCCCUUUCAGAACC
Molecule: RNase P RNA, 398 nt
Filed under: Verrucomicrobiota bacterium
Lineage: Bacteria; Pseudomonadati; Verrucomicrobiota
Description: Verrucomicrobia bacterium RNase P RNA component class A
Rfam family: Bacterial RNase P class A
About the family: Ribonuclease P (RNase P) is a ubiquitous endoribonuclease, found in archaea, bacteria and eukarya as well as chloroplasts and mitochondria.
Source: RNAcentral